This 617-nucleotide ribosomal RNA is filed under the name uncultured archaeon. RNAcentral describes it as "bacterial SSU rRNA". It matches the Rfam family "Archaeal small subunit ribosomal RNA", at positions 149 to 749 of the family's 1478-position model. The record is from RNAcentral.
AUCCCUGAUAAGUGAGAACUCCUGGAAUGGAUUCUCGCUGAAAGGACGUUUAGACCAUGCUUCUAGGCGUCGCCCAAGGAGGGGGCCGCGACCGAUCAGGUUGUUGGUGAGGUAACGGCUCACCAAGCCUUUAACCGGUACGGGCCGUGAGAGCGGAAGCCCGGAGAUGGGCACUGAGACAAGGGCCCAGGCCCUACGGGGCGCAGCAGUCGCGAAAACUCCGCAAUACACGAAAGUGUGACGGGGCUAUCCCGAGUGCCAUCCGCUGAGGAUGGCUUUUCCCCAGUGUAUAAAGCUGGGGGAAUAAGGAGAGGGCAAGCCUGGUGUCAGCCGCCGCGGUAAUACCAGCUCUCCGAGUGGUGGGGAUGUUUAUUGGGCCUAAAGCAUUCGUAGCCUGCUUGGCAAGUCCUCCGUUAAAUCCAACGAUUCAAUCGUUGGGCUGCGGGGGAUACUGUCCAGCUAGGGGGCGGGAGAGGCCGACGGUAUCCCCGGGGUAGGGGUGAAAUCCUAUAAUCCCGGGAGGACCACCAGUGGCGAAGGCUGUCGGCUAGAACGCGCUCGACGGUGAGGGAUGAAAGCUGGGGGAGCGAACCGGAUUAGAUACCCGGGUAGUCCCA